GAUGAACGCUGGCGGCGUGCUUAACACAUGCAAGUCGAACGGUGAAGGCGGAGCUUGCUCUGCUGGAUCAGUGGCGAACGGGUGAGUAACACGUGAGCAAUCUGCCCCUGACUCUGGGAUAAGCGCUGGAAACGGCGUCUAAUACUGGAUACGAGCUGCGAAGGCAUCUUCAGCAGCUGGAAAGAACUUCGGUCAGGGAUGAGCUCGCGGCAUAUCAGCUUGUUGGUGAGGUAACGGCUCACCAAGGCGUCGACGGGUAGCCGGCCUGAGAGGGUGACCGGCCACACUGGGACUGAGACACGGCCCAGACUCCUACGGGAGGCAGCAGUGGGGAAUAUUGCACAAUGGGCGAAAGCCUGAUGCAGCAACGCCGCGUGAGGGACGACGGCCUUCGGGUUGUAAACCUCUUUUAGCAGGGAAGAAGCGAAAGUGACGGUACCUGCAGAAAAAGCGCCGGCUAACUACGUG
RNAcentral lists this ribosomal RNA (468 nucleotides) under uncultured bacterium. Its description in RNAcentral is "partial 16S ribosomal RNA". It matches the Rfam family "Bacterial small subunit ribosomal RNA", at positions 28 to 507 of the family's 1533-position model. The record is from RNAcentral.